This 404-nucleotide ribosomal RNA is filed under the name uncultured bacterium. RNAcentral's name for it is "bacterial SSU rRNA". It matches the Rfam family "Bacterial small subunit ribosomal RNA", at positions 923 to 1317 of the family's 1533-position model. The record is from RNAcentral.
GCACAAGACGGUGGAGACAUGUGGUUUAAUGUUCGAUGAUACGACGAGGAACCUUACCUGGGCUAGAAUGCAGUCUGACCGAUGUUGAAAGGUGUCCUUGUAGCAAUACACAGAUUGUAAGGUGCUGCAUGGCUGUCGUCAGCUCGUGCCGUGAGGUGUUGGGUUAAGUCCCGCAACGAGCGCAAACCCCUAGUCACUAGUUGCCAGCACGUUAUGGUGGAAACUCUAGUGAAACUGCCGUCGUAAGACGCGAGGAAGGAGGGGAUGAUGUCAAGUCAUCAUGGCCUUUAUGCCCAGGGCUACACACGUGCUACAAUGGUGGGAACAAAGGGCUGCUACUUGGUAACAAGCUGCUAAUCUCAAAAAUGCCCAUCUCAGUUCGGAUUGAGGUCUGCAACUACAUC